This 46-nucleotide non-coding RNA is filed under the name Schistosoma curassoni. The record is from RNAcentral. Lineage: Eukaryota; Metazoa; Platyhelminthes; Trematoda; Strigeidida; Schistosomatidae.
GCAUUACUGAGGAGUCCCACAAUAGGACGAGACGGCCGUCCAGUGC